AAUACGUUCCCGGGUCUUGUACACACCGCCCGUCAAACCAUGAAAGUCGCCAAUACCUGACGUGCCAGCUUGCCUGGCCCUAAGGUAGGGGAGAUGAUUGGGGUUAAGUCGUAACAAGGUACCC
This 124-nucleotide ribosomal RNA is filed under the name uncultured bacterium. Its description in RNAcentral is "partial 16S ribosomal RNA". It matches the Rfam family "Bacterial small subunit ribosomal RNA", at positions 1365 to 1501 of the family's 1533-position model. The record is from RNAcentral.